This is a long non-coding RNA of Bubalus bubalis (water buffalo), 865 nucleotides long. RefSeq lists it as uncharacterized. The transcript is spliced from 3 exons. The record is from RefSeq and is a predicted model, not a curated record. NCBI's taxonomy places the organism in Eukaryota, Metazoa, Chordata, Mammalia, Artiodactyla, Bovidae.
UUCAUCUGUGGGCGAACAAGGAGGAAAAGAAGAAACAGAGGGCUGUCAGGCGAAGCGGGAGCCAGGGGAGUACGCGGGCGCUCCUGGGCAGGAGCCGGGUGGGCGCCCUUUCGGGAAGAGAACCCCGAGGGCCCAGUGCAGAUGAAUGAAUGGAUGGGGUUUGUCUUCUGGAGGAUGCCGAAGUGAGCUGCUCUUUGGUUCUUGAGUGGAAACGGAGUGGGGAGUGUCCCUGGGAACGCAACUUGGGGGCAGUUUCAGAUGGUCCCGGACAGGCGAGAGGAGCAAAGAAAUUCACUCAUCCGGAAAGCAGAUAGAGAAAGCCAGUGUGGCCGGAGCUGCGAUUUCCCUGCAAGGGUCGCGGGAGGAGGGGAGGCGAUGCGAGUGUUCCUGUUUGCGUUCGCUUGCGCCAGCUUCUCCAGCCCCUCAAGCGCAAAUGGGGAAAAGUCAGCUUGGAUUAUUGACUAGAAACACUACGUUAGAAGCCGGGGCUGCCCUAGCAACUGGACAGGUUCCAGCUCUGAUCUCCAGGCUGGGUAGGUCUCACCUGUGGCAGAAGCGCACAGCCUCCCCCGCCUUGAGUCCAGGAUUUCGGGAGGGCGGGAGUGGGGAGACUCCCGAGGGGAGAAGGAUCCCCGAAGCACCUGCGCAACCGGAUCCCACUACCUGUCCGUCUUCCGAGUCCCCGCAUCCUCCGAGCUGGACCCCAGGCCAUUUUUCAAGUGUCUCACCAGCUUUUGGACGCAGAGCUUCAAUGGUUGCUUAGCUCAUUAUAAAUUCUCUUCUUUAUACUUUUCAAGGCUGUAGCCGUAUAAACAAUCGGUUUUCUUUGUAUCAUAUAAAAUAAAAGAUCCAAGAUUUUUCCCCA